RNAcentral lists this ribosomal RNA (484 nucleotides) under uncultured bacterium. RNAcentral describes it as "partial 16S ribosomal RNA". It matches the Rfam family "Bacterial small subunit ribosomal RNA", at positions 30 to 507 of the family's 1533-position model. The record is from RNAcentral.
AUUGAACGCUGGCGGCAGGCCUAACACAUGCAAGUCGAGCGGAUGAAGGGAGCUUGCUCCUGGAUUCAGCGGAGGACGGGUGAGUAAUGCCUAGGAAUCUGCCUGGUAGUGGGGGAUAACGUCCGGAAACGGGCGCUAAUACCGCAUACGUCCUGAGGGAGAAAGUGGGGGAUCUUCGGACCUCACGCUAUCAGAUGAGCCUAGGUCGGAUUAGCUAGUUGGUGGGGUAAAGGCCUACCAAGGCGACGGUCCGUAACUGGUCUGAGAGGAUGAUCAGUCACACUGGAACUGAGACACGGUCCAGACUCCUACGGGAGGCAGCAGUGGGGAAUAUUGGACAAUGGGCGAAAGCCUGAUCCAGCCAUGCCGCGUGUGUGAAGAAGGUCUUCGGAUUGUAAAGCACUUUAAGUUGGGAGGAAGGGCAGUAAGUUAAUACCUUGCUGUUUUGACGUUACCAACAGAAUAAGCACCGGCUAACUUCGUG